GACGAACGCCGGCGGCGUGCUUAACACAUGCAAGUCGAACGCUGAAGCUUGGUGCUUGCACUGGGUGGAUGAGUGGCGAACGGGUGAGUAAUACGUGAGUAACCUGCCCUUGACUCUGGGAUAAGCCUGGGAAACUGGGUCUAAUACUGGAUACGACAUGUCACCGCAUGGUGGUGUGUGGAAAGGGUUUUACUGGUUUUGGAUGGGCUCACGGCCUAUCAGCUUGUUGGUGGGGUAAUGGCUCACCAAGGCGACGACGGGUAGCCGGCCUGAGAGGGUGACCGGCCACACUGGGACUGAGACACGGCCCAGACUCCUACGGGAGGCAGCAGUGGGGAAUAUUGCACAAUGGGCGGAAGCCUGAUGCAGCGACGCCGCGUGAGGGAUGACGGCCUUCGGGUUGUAAACCUCUUUCAGCACGGAAGAAGCGAAAGUGACGGUACGUGCAGAAGAAGCGCCGGCUAACUACGUG
RNAcentral lists this ribosomal RNA (472 nucleotides) under uncultured bacterium. RNAcentral describes it as "partial 16S ribosomal RNA". It matches the Rfam family "Bacterial small subunit ribosomal RNA", at positions 28 to 507 of the family's 1533-position model. The record is from RNAcentral.